This 615-nucleotide ribosomal RNA is filed under the name Escherichia coli. RNAcentral describes it as "partial 23S ribosomal RNA". It matches the Rfam family "Bacterial large subunit ribosomal RNA", at positions 1130 to 1746 of the family's 2925-position model. The record is from RNAcentral. Lineage: Bacteria; Pseudomonadati; Pseudomonadota; Gammaproteobacteria; Enterobacterales; Enterobacteriaceae.
AAGCGUAAUAGCUCACUGGUCGAGUCGGCCUGCGCGGAAGAUGUAACGGGGCUAAACCAUGCACCGAAGCUGCGGCAGCGACGCUGAUGCGUUGUUGGGUAGGGGAGCGUUCUGUAAGCCUGCGAAGGUGUGCUGUGAGGCAUGCUGGAGGUAUCAGAAGUGCGAAUGCUGACAUAAGUAACGAUAAAGCGGGUGAAAAGCCCGCUCGCCGGAAGACCAAGGGUUCCUGUCCAACGUUAAUCGGGGCAGGGUGAGUCGACCCCUAAGGCGAGGCCGAAAGGCGUAGUCGAUGGGAAACAGGUUAAUAUUCCUGUACUUGGUGUUACUGCGAAGGGGGGACGGAGAAGGCUAUGUUGGCCGGGCGACGGUUGUCCCGGUUUAAGCGUGUAGGCUGGUUUUCCAGGCAAAUCCGGAAAAUCAAGGCUGAGGCGUGAUGACGAGGCACUACGGUGCUGAAGCAACAAAUGCCCUGCUUCCAGGAAAAGCCUCUAAGCAUCAGGUAACAUCAAAUCGUACCCCAAACCGACACAGGUGGUCAGGUAGAGAAUACCAAGGCGCUUGAGAGAACUCGGGUGAAGGAACUAGGCAAAAUGGUGCCGUAACUUCGGGAGAAGG